This 490-nucleotide ribosomal RNA is filed under the name uncultured bacterium. RNAcentral's name for it is "partial 16S ribosomal RNA". It matches the Rfam family "Bacterial small subunit ribosomal RNA", at positions 30 to 507 of the family's 1533-position model. The record is from RNAcentral.
AUUGAACGCUGGCGGCAUGCCUUACACAUGCAAGUCGAACGGCAGCAUGAUCUAGCUUGCUAGAUUGAUGGCGAGUGGCGCACGGGUGAGUAAUACAUCGGAACGUUCCCUGUAGUGGGGGAUAACUAGUCGAAAGAUUAGCUAAUACCGCAUACGACCUGAGGGUGAAAGUGGGGGACCGCAAGGCCUCAUGCUAUAGGAGUGGCCGAUGUCUGAUUAGCUAGUUGGUGAGGUAAAGGCUCACCAAGCCGACGAUCAGUAGCUGGUCUGAGAGCACGAUCGGCCACACUGGGAGUGAGACACGGCCCAGACUCCGACGGGAGGCAGCAGUGGGGAAUUUUGGACAAUGGGCGAAAGCCUGAUCCAGCAAUGGCGCGUGUGUGAAGAAGGCCUUCGGGUUGGAAAGAACUUUUGUCCGGAAAGAAAUGGCUCUGGUUAAUACCUGGGGUCAAUGACGGUACCGGAAGAAUAAGGACCGGCUAACUACGUG